Molecule: ribosomal RNA, 253 nt
Filed under: uncultured bacterium
Lineage: Bacteria
Description: partial 16S ribosomal RNA
Rfam family: Bacterial small subunit ribosomal RNA
Source: RNAcentral
UACGUAGGGUGCGAGCGUUAAUCGGAAUUACUGGGCGUAAAGCGUGCGCAGGCGGCUUUGUAAGACAGGUGUGAAAUCCCCGGGCUUAACCUGGGAACUGCGCUUGUGACUGCAAGGCUCGAGUGUGGCAGAGGGGGGUGGAAUUCCACGUGUAGCAGUGAAAUGCGUAGAGAUGUGGAGGAACACCGAUGGCGAAGGCAGCCCCCUGGGUCAACACUGACGCUCAUGCACGAAAGCGUGGGUAGCAAACAGG